RNAcentral lists this ribosomal RNA (442 nucleotides) under uncultured bacterium. Its description in RNAcentral is "partial 16S ribosomal RNA". It matches the Rfam family "Bacterial small subunit ribosomal RNA", at positions 338 to 795 of the family's 1533-position model. The record is from RNAcentral.
CCUACGGGUGGCAGCAGUAGGGAAUCUUUCACAAUGGGCGAAAGCCUGAUGGAGCAACGCCGCGUGCAGGAUGAAGGCCUUCGGGUUGUAAACUGCUUUUAUAAGCGAGAAAUAUGAGGGUAACUUAUGAAUAAGGAUCGGCUAACUACGUGCCAGCAGCCGCGGUCAUACGUAGGAUCCGAGCAUUAUCCGGAGUGACUGGGUGUAAAGAGUUGCGUAGGUGGCAUAAUAAGUAGCUAGUGAAAUCUGGUGGCUCAACCAUUCAGACUAUUAGCUAAACUGUUAAGCUCGAGACCGUUAGGGGUAACUGGAAUUCCUAGUGUAGGAGUGAAAUCCGUAGAUAUUAGAAGGAACACCAAUAGCGUAGGCAGGUUGCUGGGACGGUUCUGACACUAAGGCACGAAAGCGUAGGGAGCAAACGGGAUUAGAUACCCCUGUAGUC